RNAcentral lists this ribosomal RNA (559 nucleotides) under uncultured bacterium. RNAcentral's name for it is "bacterial SSU rRNA". It matches the Rfam family "Bacterial small subunit ribosomal RNA", at positions 338 to 916 of the family's 1533-position model. The record is from RNAcentral.
CCUACGGGAGGCAGCAGUGAGGAAUUUUCCGCAAUGGGCGAAAGCCUGACGGAGCAAUACCGCGUGAGGGAUGAAGGAUUUUGGUCUGUAAACCUCUUUUCUCAAGAAAGAAGUUCUGACGGUACUUGAGGAAUAAGCAUCGGCUAACUCCGUGCCAGCAGCCGCGGUAAUACGGGGGAUGCAAGCGUUAUCCGGAAUGAUUGGGCGUAAAGCGCCUGUAGGUUGUUUAUUAAGUCCGUUGUUAAAGCCUAGGGCUCAACCCUAGAAAAGCAAUGGAAACUAGUAGACUAGAGUAUGGCAGGGGUAGAGGGAAUUUCUAGUGUAGCGGUGAAAUGCGUAGAUAUUAGAAAGAACACCGGUGGCGAAAGCGCUCUACUGGACCAUUACUGACACUCAGAGGCGAAAGCUAGGGUAGCAAAAGGGAUUAGAUACCCCUGUAGUCCUAGCCGUAAACGAUGGAUACUAGAUGUUGUGCAUUAUGUACAGUAUCGUAGCUAACGCGUUAAGUAUCCCGCCCGGGGAGUACGCUCGCAAGGGUGAAACUCAAAGGAAUUGACGG